UUUGGUUAACACACGUGUCAGAGAGAUUUUUGGUGUUUUUAUCUGUGUUUUUAAGUUUGUUUUGUAAAUUUUAUAGUGAAAAUAGUUGGUAUUUGGUUAUAAUAGUUUAUAUUAACAUUGACAAGGUUGGGUGAAGAGAUAUUUUAUGUCAUACUAACUACUACUAUUUUCAAUAUACUUUUAAAAUAAACUAACGAAGGUUGUAACAUCGACCGCACCGAUCAAUCUCCUUCGUGUAUUCUCCAUUCUACGUGACAUUGGCGAAAUCAUCUGUGCUCAUUUGGCACUAUUGAAAGC
Molecule: unclassified non-coding RNA, 297 nt
Filed under: Melitaea cinxia (Glanville fritillary)
Lineage: Eukaryota; Metazoa; Arthropoda; Insecta; Lepidoptera; Nymphalidae
Description: misc RNA ENSMCXG00005021183.1
Source: RNAcentral